Molecule: ribosomal RNA, 483 nt
Filed under: uncultured bacterium
Lineage: Bacteria
Description: partial 16S ribosomal RNA
Rfam family: Bacterial small subunit ribosomal RNA
Source: RNAcentral
GACGAACGCUGGCGGCGUGCUUAACACAUGCAAGUCGAACGCUGAAGCUCAGCUUUUGUUGGGUGGAUGAGUGGCGAACGGGUGAGUAACACGUGAGUAACCUGCCCCCUUCUUUGGGAUAACGCCCGGAAACGGGUGCUAAUACUGGAUAUUCACUGGUCUUCGCAUGGGGGUUGGUGGAAAGGGUUUUUCUGGUGGGGGAUGGGCUCGCGGCCUAUCCGCUUGUUGGUGGGGUGAUGGCCUACCAAGGCUUUGACGGGUAGCCGGCCUGAGAGGGUGACCGGGCACAUUGGGACUGAGAUACGGCCCAGACUCCUACGGGAGGCAGCAGUGGGGAAGAUUGAACAAUGGGCGAAAGCGUGAUGCAGCGACGCCGCGGGAGGGAUGGAGGCCUUCGGGUUGUGAACCUCUUUCGCUCAUGGUCAAGCCGCAACAAUGGUUGUGGUGAGGGUAGUGGGUAAAGAAGCGCCGGCUAACUACGUG